UCUUUUCUAUGGAAGCUUGCUUCCACUGAGAAGAUAGUGGCGGACGGGUGAGUAACACGUGGGUAACCUGCCCAUAAGAGGGGGAUAACAUCCGGAAACGGGUGCUAAUACCGCAUAGUUUUCUUGAUCGCAUGAUUGAGAAAGGAAAGACGGCCUUUGUGCUGUCGCUUAUGGAUGGACCCGCGGCGUAUUAGUUAGUUGGUGAGGUAACGGCUCACCAAGACGAUGAUACGUAGCCGACCUGAGAGGGUGAUCGGCCACAUUGGGACUGAGACACGGCCCAAACUCCUACGGGAGGCAGCAGUAGGGAAUCUUCCGCAAUGGACGAAAGUCUGACGGAGCAACGCCGCGUGAGUGAAGAAGGUUUUCGGAUCGUAAAACUCUGUUGUCAGAGAAGAACAAGUCGGAGAGUAACUGCUCCGGCCUUGACGGUAUCUGACCAGAAAGCCACGGCUAACUACGUGCCAGCAGCCGCGGUAAUACGUAGGUGGCAAGCGUUGUCCGGAUUUAUUGGGCGUAAAGCGAGCGCAGGCGGUUCCUUAAGUCUGAUGUGAAAGCCCACGGCUCAACCGUGGAAGGUCAUUGGAAACUGGGGAACUUGAGUGCAGAAGAGGAGAGUGGAAUUCCAUGUGUAGC
RNAcentral lists this ribosomal RNA (636 nucleotides) under uncultured Carnobacteriaceae bacterium. RNAcentral's name for it is "bacterial SSU rRNA". It matches the Rfam family "Bacterial small subunit ribosomal RNA", at positions 64 to 679 of the family's 1533-position model. Lineage: Bacteria; Bacillati; Bacillota; Bacilli; Lactobacillales; Carnobacteriaceae. The record is from RNAcentral.